CAGCCCUUUAGAAGAAACCUCAGACAAUCCUGCAGUGGCAUCUGUGGAAAGCCGAAGCCCUGUGCAAAGGCAUCUUAUAAGGGAGCAGGAAGCAGGAAGAGGCAAAGCUUUCGUGAGCUCAGCGGUGACCAGCUUGAUGUUUUUGACAACACGAGUGUUUGACUGGGACUACAGGCUACCAGAUGUUUUGUACAAGUCUGGAAAGAAGUUGCACCAGCAGCAGCCUUCUAGGAGAUCUGGUUCGGGUCAGAAACCUGUCCACACCAGAAUGGAUUUGGCUGAUCUCAGUGAGGGGCAGGAAUGAGGGGUGAGGGGGCUGAUGUGGGAGCCAGAAUUAAAGAAGCAGUCCUGUCUCCAUCGAACUCUGAAGCGCGCCUCUAGGCGGGAUACGACUGCGUCCUGGAUGACAAAAAUACACGUCGCUAAAUCUUCAUGGAUAUCCGUCUUCGGUACGUACGACUCGGCAAGAGAACUGAGGUGAUGCUUUGAAAAAUCACAGCGCUGAGGAUCCGGUUUACUUAGCAUGUCGUGUUUA
Molecule: long non-coding RNA, 535 nt
Organism: Calidris pugnax (ruff)
Lineage: Eukaryota; Metazoa; Chordata; Aves; Charadriiformes; Scolopacidae
Exons: 5
Source: RefSeq, a predicted model, not a curated record